UGUUCCCCAUCCUCUUCUCCUAUCAAUCUACCAGAAAAACUGUGAGAUCUCUUCCAAGGGCCCCACACGGUGGUCGAAAACAUGCCGAGACCGCCGUCUCUACAUCCAUACGUGGAGUGGAGGUCGCCCUCGCCAGGACACCACCAACCCGAGGAGGAAGAGGUGCCGUUCGUCCGCCUGGCUGGCAUCGCUUCCCCCUGGACUUCGGGCUGCUCGAUGUUGUGCUGCUCCCCGUGAUUUGCGUCCUCUGCAUGCAACUUGCCUCUCUCCGAUCUGGAUACACCAUCGCCAGCCAUGUAACUGUCAUCGUUAGAUGAAAUAUUUGCCGAUAUGGAAAUUGCAGGAACCUUGUGCAACUGAUAUACUUUCCCGUCAUGAAAAAUCCUUCUCUCAGUUCAUCCAGUGUCAACUAUUUAGAUCAUAUAUGGAUGUUGCAGUUUCAUGCGAGCCUUGUAAAGUUCACUUCAUCUACGGAUUUACAGUUCGUGAAUCCAAGGGAUCCACUGUAGUGUAUAAAGCAUCAGAUCCUGAAUUGAUAUGUCAGGUAGAUGCCCAUGAGUCUGGCAACAGUUUCUGAGAAGGGGACUAUGAUUUGAGUAUAUGUUGUGGCACACACAACUAAGUCACAUAGGUUUCAGUGGGGAGCAUAUCCAUCAACAAUUUACUCGCUCUCAUUUGGGCCAAGCAUCGCUCAACCUGAUGUUUUUGCUGCCACAAGUUCAUCAGGCUCUUUGCACAUGUUUUUCCUUGACGCAGCAAGAAACGGAAGGUUGGCAACCCCUAGUACAAGGCUAGUGAUCUACUCACCUUGUGCAACCACUUUCUUCACUCAUCUUGAAGACCAUACAAGUUCAGUUUUCAAUUUAUAUUGUAUUCACCUAGAAAGGCUACAAAGUAAAGAUGCUAACUUAGGAUGAUCUUUUCAUCUGUACCCAGUGUGUUGCACAUAUCUUAUUUGUGGAAAUGAUCUAUUACUAGGUUUGUACUCCCUCCGUCCCAUAAUAUAGGACGUUUUUUGACACUAGUGUAGUGACAAAAUAUGUCUUACAUUAUGGGACGGAGGGAGUAACAUACAAAUG
Triticum dicoccoides is the source of this 1079-nucleotide long non-coding RNA. RefSeq lists it as uncharacterized. The record is from RefSeq and is a predicted model, not a curated record. NCBI's taxonomy places the organism in Eukaryota, Viridiplantae, Streptophyta, Magnoliopsida, Poales, Poaceae. The transcript has 7 exons.